Molecule: ribosomal RNA, 943 nt
Filed under: Plakortis sp. KY029
Lineage: Eukaryota; Metazoa; Porifera; Homoscleromorpha; Homosclerophorida; Plakinidae
Description: SSU rRNA
Rfam family: Eukaryotic small subunit ribosomal RNA
Source: RNAcentral
UGUCUAAGUAUAAGCGAUCUUAUACGGCGAAACUGCGAAUGGCUCAUUAAAUCAGUUAUAGUUUAUUUGAUGGUCUCUCACCACUUGGAUAACCGUGGUAAUUCUAGAGCUAAUACAUGCGUCGAGUCCCGACUGUCGCGGAAGGGAUGUAUUUAUUAGAUUCAAAACCAAUGCGGGGCCCCGGUCCCGGUCUUUUGGUGAUUCAUAGUAACUGUUCGGAGCGCAGGGCCUCGUGCGCCGGCGCCGGAUCAUUCAAGUUUCUGCCCUAUCAACUGUCGAUGGUAAGGUAUUGGCUUACCAUGGUUGCAACGGGUGACGGAGAAUUAGGGUUCGAUUCCGGAGAGGGAGCCUGAGAAACGGCCACCACAUCCAAGGAAGGCAGCAGGCGCGCAAAUUACCCAAUCCCGACACGGGGAGGUAGUGACAAUAAAUAACAAUACAGGGCUUUCGUAAGUCUUGUAAUUGGAAUGAGAACAAUUUAAAUCCCUUAACGAGGAACAAUUGGAGGGCAAGUCUGGUGCCAGCAGCCGCGGUAAUUCCAGCUCCAAUAGCGUAUAUUAAAGUUGUUGCAGUUAAAAAGCUCGUAGUUGGAUUUCGGCGGCGCGGCGUCGGUCCGCCUGGCGGCGUGUCACUGGCGCCGCGCGGCUUUCUCUCGAGGGCCGCGCGUGCUCUUGAGUGAGCGUGCGCGUUACUCGGGACGUUUACUUUGAAAAAAUUAGAGUGUUCAAAGCAGGCUUUGGGGCUUGAAUACAUUAGCAUGGAAUAAUGGAAUAGGACGUCGGUCCUGUUUUGUUGGUUUCCGGGACCGAGGUAAUGAUUAAUAGGGACAGUUGGGGGCAUUCGUAUUCAAUUGUCAGAGGUGAAAUUCUUGGAUUUAUGGAAGACGGACGCAUGCGAAAGCAUUUGCCAAGGAUGUUUUCGUUAAUCAAGAACGAAAGUUGGA